Molecule: ribosomal RNA, 251 nt
Filed under: uncultured bacterium
Lineage: Bacteria
Description: partial 16S ribosomal RNA
Rfam family: Bacterial small subunit ribosomal RNA
Source: RNAcentral
GUCCACACAGUAACGAUGAAUACUCGCUGUUGCGAUAUACAGUAAGCGGCCAAGCGAAGCAUUAAGUAUUCCACCUGGGAGUACGCCGGCAACGGUGAACUCAAGGAAUUGACGGGGCCCGGCACAAGCGGAGGAACAUGUGGUUUAAUUCGAUGAUACGCGAGGAACCUUACCCGGGCUUGAAUUGCAACUGAAUGAUGUGGAGACAUGUCAGCCGCAAGGCAGUUGUGAAGGUGCUGCAUGGUUGUCGU